Long non-coding RNA from Hemicordylus capensis (graceful crag lizard), 5993 nucleotides. RefSeq lists it as uncharacterized. The record is from RefSeq and is a predicted model, not a curated record. Lineage: Eukaryota; Metazoa; Chordata; Lepidosauria; Squamata; Cordylidae. The transcript has 2 exons.
UUGGGGAAGGGGAGUUUGUAGGGCAGGCAACGUGGGAAGGGGGAGCUAAGGUUGGAAAAGGGAUUCUGACGAAUCAGGCGAGGGGGUUUCCUCUCCCCACAUACUGGGUGGUGUUGGUGAGCUUAGGACUCUCGGACGUUACAUGCUUUUCAUGCAGCGAGCGUGUAUCCGUGAAACUGCAUAAACAUCGGUGGCCACCCCGUGUGAAGCAGAAGGGGCUGAUUCACACGUUGGGUGUUGGGGUUUGCUUGCUUUUUAGGUGUAGCCUAACGGCGUGGCUUCUUUUUUAAGCGUACAUCCUAAAAUAAAAUGUGUGAACAAGACAGCUUUGUGAUCAAAGACACGGAUGUCCUAUAUGGUACACUCAUGUUUGGCCUAGGUCUCUCUAAUAGCCAAGCUAGGCAUGGCAUAACAUGUGUUUCCCCUUUUAAAGACAAAUCUUUAAUGUAGUUCUGCAGCUGUGAGCUCACAACUUGAUUGGAGCAGCUGUUGGGCAGGAAGGGGGUGCUUUUCACUUGCCCUGUGCCCCCCUUUCUUAAAAUAAAAAUCCCCCUCCUCAAGCUGCUUGCCCUCCUCAAGGGGGGAAAUAUAACAACUACCCGGAUGUUUUCUCACACAAGCAGAAGAGCAACUUGGAGGACCAGUAAUGGCAGGAGGGGAAAAGAUUUAUCACUUUCUCCCCUGUUGCUAGUAGCCAAGCGGAGAAGUGACUUGCCUAGGGAGCAAGAGGUUGUUAGUGCAAAUCCCUGCUGGAAACACUUCUAUCAAGCAGCAGCGAUAUAGGAAGGUGCUGAAAGGGAGGAAGCAAUGGUAAACCUCUCCUGUAUUCUGCCAAGAAAAACCACAUGGCUCUGUAGUCGCCAGGAGUCAACACCAACUCGAUGCCACCAGUAUGAUCUUUCUUUCCCCCUGCUGCUAUGGCUCAGUUUAAAGCCCUCGUGAUCACAUUCAAAUUGAAAAACCUAGUUCGUCCAUGAGCUGGAGGCACCAAGGCUCUGAAGCAAUGCAAAGGGGUUGUGAAAAUUGAUCCAGCAUCCAUUCAUGUCUGGGUUCAGAGGACCUCUCACAUUUAUAGUGCCACUCUGCUGUUUGGAAGGCUUGAGGCAAGUAGCAUAUAUAUCUCAUGUAUACACACAGAGAGACGCUAAUCUCCACUUUCCCUGUCACCAGACUUAGGCUGAGCAUAACAAGCAAUGGAAAGCAAGGGAUUUGCAGGCCUGAAAGCAGGGGGGAAAGAAAGGAAGGGGCCUGCUAAGGCACCAUGCUUUUCCAGUGACUCACGUGCUAAGCUGAGUUAAGGGAAGGGAAGCCCUAUGCUUGUGAGAAUGGCUGAAGUCAUUCAGCAAAUGGCCUUUAAUUAGUCAUCUCUUCUUGGCAGUCAGAACAAUCACACCACUUGCUCAUUCAUUUUAUUUUUUUGGCACAGCUGCACUUUAACAAAAUAGUGGAAUAAAUAAAAAAAUAUUUGUGCAUUCACGCUCUAGUGCAAAAGUGAAAAAAGUCUUAUGUCUGGCUUUGGGGGAAGGAAUCAUGUAGUUGGACAUUAUAAUGGCUGUGUAACCUGGAAAUGUGGGGCAAACAAUGCAGAAAGGCACCAACCACAACAGCAAUUGCUUCACAUACCACUUGCCCCACCACAUACAUCAGUAGCGCUUUGUUAUGCCACAUUAGACAGGCUGGUGCUACAACUGCAUUUAAAGUCAGAAAAAUUGCCACAAAUCACGUCUUAAUACAAGUUGUUCUGGUAAGAACUAAUCUACCUACUUUCUUUUCACUAUAACCUUAUUUGAUAAUUGCCAUUCUCACAAGUUAACCUACUUCAGCCUUAAACGAUCACAUGUUCCCCAUCUUGAACUGGGGUGGAUGACACAUUACAAACUAUGCCGUUAAGAUGUCGCUAUGUGUCACUGACUACAAUUGUACCAAAUUUGGUCCAAAUCGGUUCCCAUCUGCGCCUCAAAAUUCCACACAUCUGCCAUCUUGAAUAGAGGUAGAUGACAUCAUCACAAACUGUGCAUUUGGGGUGUCCCUUACUGCUGUACCAAAUUUGGUCCAAAUCAGUUUCCACUUGCACCUCAAAAUGUUCACGUGUCCACCAUCUUGAAUCAGGAUGGAUAAUAUGAUAAUUACAUGUUAUGCCCAUGAGCCAUUCCUAUGUGUCCCUACACCUGUAGCAACUUUGGUUCAAAUUGGUUAGGCAGUUCACAAGUUAGACCAAUUACAUCUCAAAUGUUCACAUGUUCACCAUCUUGAAUUGGGGUGGAUGACAUCACAAACCACACCAUUGAGGUGUCCCUGUGUAUCACUCACUACAACUGUGCCAAAUUUGGUUCAGAUCGUUUAGGCGGUCCACAAGUUUGCCACUUUCACUUCAAAUGUUUAUGCAUCCACCAUUUUGAAUUGUAGUGUUUGACAUCAUCGCAAACUACACCACUGAAGUGUGCCUAUGUGUCGGAAAUGGAGGUAGGAAUACAUUAGCUGCAACUUUUGAGUAGUCUUUUAAGAGCUUUAUGCACAGCUCAUUGCAAUAAUCAACCUGUGAUGAUGGUACAUUCUGAUAUCAAAAUGUGAGGAAAAAGUGUCCUAACCUCACAAGAAGCAGGUGAAGAGUGGUUUAACACUGUAAGCAUAAUGGGAAUAUUUCUUUUCCCGGUUGCUGCUGCCAGGGACAUCUCAAUGGGUUAUCCCCUCUCACUAGCUCCAAGGCAGGACAGAUCUUAUUAGUUAGAACAAGAAGAACAUGCCCACUUGACGCUGAGGGGGAUAACCCCACCCCAGUUCUUUCUGUCCUCGCCAGCUCCAGGCAGCAAUCCUUUGUUUCUCUCAGUCUUUUUCCUCUGAAAUUGUUCCUUACUCCGUUUUUUCUUUGCCUAGCGCUCCACUUCUUCAGCCUCCACCCUUUUUCUUUCUCUGUUGCAUGGAGCUUGGUUCUCAGUGCAGGAUGAUCCUGCUAGCACGUGGGGCCCGCCAAGGGUCAUUUGGUCCGGUCGAGUUGAGGCUGUUUGGAGUUCCUCCCCCAGUGGGACCGCCAUAUCUGGCAGUCUCCGCACUGUUCCCCUGACUCUGCAGAGCCCCUUCCUCGACAGUGGUCAUGGCCGUGGAACAGCCACCUGUGCCACUACGGGCUCAGCAUCGGCAACAACCGACUCAGAGCCACCCACGCUGUUUGCUACCGGGACUGCUGUGAGUCUCCUGCCAUCAGGCUGCGAGACCUGCUCUUCGGCGGUCCAGUGCGCUCUCCCUGCUUUUCCGAUGGGGCAGAACCUUAUUCAAGGCGGCAGUGAGCUUUUCACAUACCCCUUUGGCGACCCCUCUGGGUCUGCGUGGGCAGGUUAUGUCUAAGGGGGACUCCCCAAAUGCACUAGGGGACCAGAGUGCCAGAGUGACCCUAAUCCAGGCACCUUUCUCACCCUCCCUAAGGUGGUUCUCUCAGAAUGGCAGGCCUGGUUUCUCAAUGCAUUGUGGACACUGUUCACCAAAUUAGACCGGCCAAAAAAGAGAAAAAGAGAUCCAAAAAGAAGAAAAGGGCUAGCUCUUCCUCAGACGCUUCUUCGUCAAGUGACUCAGUUAACCCACCACCUAAAAAGGCAAAAGCCAUGCAGAAGCAUUUAAAGAGCCAAAAAUCUCCAAAGAACAAAAGGAGUAAGUCACCUCAUUCAUCUGACAUAUCUGAUCAUGACUCUGGGGAUCCUAAGCUUCACAACCCUAGGCCUUUAGUUCCCCCAAAGAAACAUUCUGGUGCCACUCCAUUGCAUGAACUGGACUCUGAUUUUGAAGAGGCCUCUAAUAGGCCUGUGAGCAUGGACCAGGAGUAGGACCCCCUUCCCGAUAGGAGGGAGAGUGGUCGGGGGGCGGGGGAGAACAUGAAAUGUCUAAUGUUUCCCAAUGUUUAUUUGUUGCAGAGGAUUUUAACCCUCUCAUGUCCAGGGUCAUUAAAGCAAUAGGUCUCCAAGCAAAAGCUCCUGUUGAAUCCAGCUCAUCUGAGAAAGGUGAUCUAGUAUUUCCCUGACCUAAACCAAAGGACAUGCUUUUGCACCUUCCUGACUUAUUUGCGGAGGUGGUCAAGCAGGAAUGGCUUCUCCCGGCUGCUAACAGAAAACCCAUGACCAUUGCUAACCAUUUUUACUCUUUCGAGCAGGAGGCCUCUGACUUGUUAAAAACUCGUAACACAUAUUAUUAUUAUUAUUAUUAUUAUUAUUAUUAUUAUUAUUAUUAUUAUUUACAUUUAUAUCCCACUCUUCCUCCAAAGAGCCCAGAGCGGUGUACUACAUACUUAGGUUCCUCCUCACAACAACCCUGUGAAGUAGAUUAAACCAUGAUGUCCCGACCGCACAACUGGUGUCUGGUUCCCUCAUCCCUAGGGACAGCAAGAUGGCAUUAAAGGACUCAGCAGGCAAAAAGGCGGAGUUGGCGUUCAAACAAGUCCAUGACAACUCAUCCUUUGUUACUUGAGCAGCAGCAGCUUGUGGCUGGAUGACCUCCUCAAUGAGCCUACCUCUGAUUCUGUCAAGCUGGAUCAACAAUUGGUCAAGCUGCAAAAAGCCCAAGCUUUCAAUGCAGAUGCCACGUUAGACUCUAUCAGGUUUUCAUCUAGAAUUUUGGUGGCCUCAGUUCUUGGCUGAAAGCACUUAUGGCUUAAAAACUGGCAAGUGGAUAACAUCUCCAAAAACAAUCUCACUGCAGCACCUUAUGACUCUACUAAGCUGUUCGGAGAAGUGGCCUUGAAGGAUAUCCUUGUUGAGUCGAAAGACAAAUGAAAGACUAUGCAGUCUACCACUCGCAAGCCUGGACCGCCCCUUCUUCAAACGAAUUUUUCAGCAGUUCCAGCCCUUUCAGUGCUCCUGCCCCUUCAGGGGCCGGGACAGAUUUUCCAGGAGUCAGAGAGGUUCCUGGGGCAGACAACGCUUCACCUACAGGGGCUUUGCUAACUCUAAGCAACAGUCCAGGCAGGCAAAGCAACAGAAAUCACAACCGUGACUUGUGAUUCACCAGGCUGGGAGGCCAUCUGAUGGAAUUUCUGCACACCUGGAAUCUUCUACGACAGACAACUGGGUGCUAAAGAUCAUACAGUACGGAUACAAGAUAGAGUUGAACGCCCCCUCUCCCCACAGCUUCCUUCCAACACUAAGACCACGCUCGGUCGCAAAACAUUUGGAGAUGUUGCAAGCAAUUCCUCAUCUACUGGAGAUAGGAGCGGUGGAAACAGUCACUCCGUACCAGAUGGGAGGGGGCAUCUAUUCUAUCUUGUUUACCGUUCCAAAAAAGGAUGGGUCCAGAAGGGCAGUGCUAGACCUGAAAUUCCUGUACAAAUGGGUCAGGCACAAGCGUUUUUGUAUGGAAGCCUUAAGGUCAGUAUCGGAGGCCCUACGCCACCUGGACCUCUUAACAUCGAUAGACUUGAAGGAAGCCUACCUUCAUGCUCCGAUACUCUCGGAAAAUCGAAGAUUCCUUCGUUUCAAGUAUGUUGGCUCCCAUUAUCAUGCCAACCUGGGAGCUCAAGGCUGAAAAUCUGUGUUGUCAUGCUGUUCUACUCAGAUUCCACUAUUGGAAUUAAUUAUUUUUUAAAAAUUUGGUCAUGUUCUCACAAUGACAAGGAGCACCGUUAAAGAGUUAACUGGGAUUGCUGAGUCCCUCUUGCUCCUCUAGUGUGUGAUGUGAGAACCCAGAAUUUGGUGGCAAUUUUCAUUCAAACUACUGUGGCAUUUAACCACAACAGUUUUACUGGGAUGGCCCAGAAAUUCUGGGUUCUCACGUCAUGCUCCAUGGAAGCAUGUGGGGCUCAGUGACAGUAUUCCCUCUAACAGGGAUUCCCAGAUGUUGUUGACUACGACUCCCAUAACCCCAAGCAAAAGCCAUUGCAGGUGGGGAUUCUGGGAGUUGUGGUCAACAACAUCUGGGAAUCCCUGUUAGAGGGCAUACUGCUCAGUGAGAUGAGAACACGACCUUUGUUACAGUCACAUAAUCAACCACAAUAAAUUUAACAAUUGAACAAA